Molecule: transfer RNA, 71 nt
Filed under: Microbacterium sp. MYb62
Lineage: Bacteria; Bacillati; Actinomycetota; Actinomycetes; Micrococcales; Microbacteriaceae
Description: tRNA-Gln
Rfam family: tRNA
About the family: Transfer RNA (tRNA) molecules are approximately 80 nucleotides in length. Their secondary structure includes four short double-helical elements and three loops (D, anti-codon, and T loops).
Source: RNAcentral
UCUCCGCUGGCCUAACGGCAGGGCGCGCGGUUCUGGUCCGCGAGGUCGAGGUUCGAGUCCUCGGUGGAGAG